Molecule: non-coding RNA, 31 nt
Filed under: Homo sapiens (human)
Lineage: Eukaryota; Metazoa; Chordata; Mammalia; Primates; Hominidae
Source: RNAcentral
UGAACUGCUUUCCAUGCUGCCAUCUGGUGGU